This 177-nucleotide ribosomal RNA is filed under the name Triticum aestivum (bread wheat). Its description in RNAcentral is "partial small subunit ribosomal RNA". The record is from RNAcentral. Lineage: Eukaryota; Viridiplantae; Streptophyta; Magnoliopsida; Poales; Poaceae.
AUGGAAUAUCAGCUGAUCGUCUCUGCGCUGGACGUCCGCAUCAAGCCAAUCACCGUCGACAUCCUCUUCUCCAUGGUGGCGAACUUCGACCAGCGGGUCGACAUGUUCCAUGGCAAUGGUGGUGGCACCUUCAAGUCGUCGGCAAACAUUGCUUCUCGCGGCCGAGGCAAUAAGGGC